This 58-nucleotide transfer RNA is filed under the name Vibrio cholerae. RNAcentral's name for it is "tRNA-His". It matches the Rfam family "tRNA", at positions 8 to 63 of the family's 71-position model. From Rfam's summary of the family: Transfer RNA (tRNA) molecules are approximately 80 nucleotides in length. Lineage: Bacteria; Pseudomonadati; Pseudomonadota; Gammaproteobacteria; Vibrionales; Vibrionaceae. The record is from RNAcentral.
UAGCUCAGUUGGUAGAGCCCCGGAUUGUGAUUCCGGUUGUCGUGGGUUCGAGCCCCAU